This 194-nucleotide ribosomal RNA is filed under the name bacterium symbiont of Siboglinum sp. RNAcentral's name for it is "partial 16S ribosomal RNA". It matches the Rfam family "Bacterial small subunit ribosomal RNA", at positions 338 to 524 of the family's 1533-position model. The record is from RNAcentral.
CCUACGGGAGGCAGCAGUGGGGAAUAUUGCGCAAUGGGGGAAACCCUGACGCAGCAACGCCGCGUGGAGGAUGAAGGCUUUCGAGUUGUAAACUUCUGUCGGGUGAGAAGAAUCCCUGUAGGGUUAAUACCCCUUCAGGUUGACGGUAUUGCCAAAGGAAGCCCCGGCUAACUCUUGCCAGCAGCCGCGGUAAU